AUUACAGGUCUGGCAAAUGGAUGUCACGCAUAUUUCCUCCUUUGGGAGAAAUCAAUAUUUACAUGUUUCUAUUGACACCUGCUCUGGUGUAAUGUUUGCCACACCUUUAACCGGAGAAAAAGCCUCACAUGUGAUUCAACAUUGUCUUGAGGCAUGGAGUGCUUGGGGGAAACCCAAACUCCUUAAGACUGAUAAUGGACCAGCUUAUACAUCUCAAAAAUUCCAGCAGUUCUGCCGUCAGAUGGACGUGACCCACCUGACUGGACUUCCAUACAACCCUCAAGGACAGGAAUGAAGACAACCCAUUUUGGAUACCAGAAAGACUCACCCGAAAAAUCCAGACUGACCAAGGGAAUGCUGAUGUCCCUCGUCUUGGUGAUGUCCAGGGCGUCAAUAAUAAAGAGAGAGCAGCGUUGGGGGAUAAUGUCGACAUUUCCACUCCCAAUGACGGUGAUGUAUAAUGCUCAAGUAUUCCCCUGCUUUUUUACCACUAACUAGGGACUGGGUUUGGCCUUGAUUCAGACAGCCUUGGCUCUGUCUGGACAGGUCCAGACGACUGACACCAUUAACACUUUGUCAGCCUCAGUGACUACAGUCAUAGAUAAACAGGCCUCAGCUAAUGUCAUGAUACAGGGUGGUCUCAUGCUGGUUAAUCAACGCAUAGAUCUUGUCCAGAAACAACUAGAUGUAUUAUGGCAAAUAGCUCAGCUGGGAUGUGAACAAAAGUUUCCGGGAUUGUGUGUUACUUCCAUUCAGUAUGAGAAAUUUACUAGGGCAGCUAAUUUGUCAAAAAGUCUUUUUCAGUAUAUGUUACAGAAUUGGACGGCUGAAUUUGAACAGAUCCUUCGGGAAUUGAGACUUCAGGUCAACUCCACGCGCUUGGACCUGUCCCUGACCAAAGGAUUACCCAAUUGGAUCUCCUCAGCAUUUCCCUUCUUUAAAGAAUGGGUGGGAUUGAUAUUAUUUGGAGAUACACU
This 977-nucleotide long non-coding RNA is filed under the name Mus musculus (house mouse). RNAcentral's name for it is "predicted gene 45627". Lineage: Eukaryota; Metazoa; Chordata; Mammalia; Rodentia; Muridae. The record is from RNAcentral.